AAUGAUUUGGCAGAUUAGUGCUCUAAAUUUAGAAUUUGGUUAAGUAUAUAAAAUAUUAUACAUUCAUUA
RNAcentral lists this transfer RNA (69 nucleotides) under Nesophrosyne sp. 302 GMB-2012. RNAcentral describes it as "tRNA-Leu". Lineage: Eukaryota; Metazoa; Arthropoda; Insecta; Hemiptera; Cicadellidae. The record is from RNAcentral.